This 253-nucleotide ribosomal RNA is filed under the name uncultured bacterium. Its description in RNAcentral is "partial 16S ribosomal RNA". It matches the Rfam family "Bacterial small subunit ribosomal RNA", at positions 524 to 776 of the family's 1533-position model. The record is from RNAcentral.
UACAGAGGUCUCAAGCGUUGUUCGGAUUCAUUGGGCGUAAAGGGUGUGUAGGUGGCGCGCUAAGUCGGGUGUGAAAUUUCGGAGCUUAACUCCGAAACUGCAUUCGAUACUGGCGUGCUUGAGGACUGGAGAGGAGACUGGAAUUUACGGUGUAGCAGUGAAAUGCGUAGAUAUCGUAAGGAAGGCCAGUGGCGAAGGCGGAUCUCUGGACAGUUACUGACACUGAGGCACGAAGGCCAGGGGAGCAAACGGG